GUAAACAGGGAAAGAGAGUGUAAGGCUACCAUUCUGACCUAUGGUGGGGCAGGGGGGACAUGGGUGGGACAGGAGACCUCAGGAAUAUUCCUCUAUGACAUGCUCAUGUGUUAAUGGGGGACCUUUGCAGCCCCAGGGGGGCAAGAGACACAGAGGCUAAGACCUCCUCAGGAAUAAAGCAGGUGCACUGACGGUGGGUAAUUCUGGCAUCUACUCCAGGCUGCAGACACUGGGCAGAACCUCGCCAGAACUCAAGGAGGUGGACGUGCCCCAGGGGACUGUGGUCCCAGUCACCUCCUGCCGCCAUGACCAAAGGCCUGGGUGGUCCUCUGAUGGGAAGGAAGUGUUUUUAUUGACCCUCAGACAGCUGCGCUGUGCCAGGCAGGGCUCCCUGGAACCAUGGGUGUGAGUGAAGGAAGAAUUGUGGCUGCCACAGGGCCAGAGUGUGGCCCCUGCUUCCUGCAGGAACUGCCCUCACCCGACCCACAUGGUUCUGUAGAGCCACCACCCACCGCCAGUGCAGGAGUGAGCUCGGGACCCAGGCCUGGACGAUCACAGAGCGCUGACCCCUGGCCCAGGGAGCAAGCUCUUUCCUGGACGAGGAGUGAGAAACCUGUGCCCCCCUGGGUACCCAAGCUGGGACGGGUGACCUGGCCCUGUCUGGGUCAUGCACCAUACCUCUGCCACGCGGAGGAAAUGUGUGGAGAAAAAGAAGCCAGCACACAGAGAGAAGCAAAGCCGAGCAACGAGAGAAACUCGAG
This 761-nucleotide long non-coding RNA is filed under the name Equus caballus (horse). RNAcentral's name for it is "lncRNA (ENSECAG00000046554.1)". The record is from RNAcentral. Lineage: Eukaryota; Metazoa; Chordata; Mammalia; Perissodactyla; Equidae.